RNAcentral lists this unclassified non-coding RNA (240 nucleotides) under soil metagenome. RNAcentral describes it as "partial contains 5.8S ribosomal RNA, internal transcribed spacer 2, and large subunit ribosomal RNA". The record is from RNAcentral.
AAGACUAUAGACCUGCGGAGUACCUGCGGAAGGAUCAUUAUCGUAUUGUAACAAUUGGGGGGGCCACCGUGGGCAGUCGCUGACCCUUUGAAAGGGGGGUCGUGCACGCCCCCAUAGUGUCAUCCUCAUACAAUCCAACUCACCUCUGUGCAUCACCGCGUGGGUUCCUUUCUGGGUCGAGUCAGACUGGCUCAGAAAAAAGGGGCUUGCGUUUUCCAUACAAAUACCCUUAUAAAUCCA